GCCGAGGUCGCAUAGCGGUAUUGCGCUGGUCUUGAAAACCAGUCCCUCUGGGAUCGUGGGUUCAAAUCCCACCCUCGGCG
Molecule: transfer RNA, 80 nt
Filed under: Nanobdellati archaeon
Lineage: Archaea; Nanobdellati
Description: tRNA-Ser
Rfam family: tRNA
About the family: Transfer RNA (tRNA) molecules are approximately 80 nucleotides in length. Their secondary structure includes four short double-helical elements and three loops (D, anti-codon, and T loops).
Source: RNAcentral